AACGAACGCUGGCGGCAGGCCUAACACAUGCAAGUCGAGCGAGGACUUCGGUUCUAGCGGCGGACGGGUGAGUAACGCGUGGGAAUGUGCCCUUCUCUACGGAAUAGCCCUGGGAAACUGGGAGUAAUACCGUAUACGCCCUAUUGGGGAAAGAUUUAUUGGAGAAGGAUCAGCCCGCGUUGGAUUAGGUAGUUGGUGGGGUAAUGGCCUACCAAGCCGACGAUCCAUAGCUGGUUUGAGAGGAUGAUCAGCCACACUGGGACUGAGACACGGCCCAGACUCCUACGGGAGGCAGCAGUGGGGAAUCUUAGACAAUGGGGGCAACCCUGAUCUAGCCAUGCCGCGUGAGUGAUGAAGGCCUUAGGGUUGUAAAGCUCUUUCAGCUGGGAAGAUAAUGACGGUACCAGCAGAAGAAGCCCCGGCUAACUCCGUG
Molecule: ribosomal RNA, 433 nt
Filed under: uncultured bacterium
Lineage: Bacteria
Description: partial 16S ribosomal RNA
Rfam family: Bacterial small subunit ribosomal RNA
Source: RNAcentral